CGCGCCUGCACGCUCUGCGCAUGCCCGGCCGCGCCGCACCCCGGCCCACGCAGGCUGCGGGAGUCCUGGCGAUCGCGAACAUUUUGGCGAGCAUUUCAGCUAGGCUGUGGAAGAGGGCUGGGUGCAGCUUUGGACGCGCGCACCCUGGAGGGGCUGUCUCCUCCAGGAUGCACACCGGGGAUGGACAAGGCGCUGGAGGAGGGCCCCGUAGGGCAGCGAUGCGCACAGGCCCAGGGCACCGAAUGACCCUAACAAAGACUCUUCUGGAAGCACCUCCUCCAUGGAAACCUGCGGAUAUCCACCACGAGUGCCCCUGGAUCCCCAGUAUGGCACCCGAGCGUCCAGCGUGCACGCUGCCUCGGAAACAGGCAGGCCCACGGUCAAUCCUGAUCAAGGCAUCCCAAAGGACAGUAAAAGGUAUCCACAGCAUCAGUCUUAAAAUCCUCUUUGUAUGGUUUCCCAUGCUGGGUGUCUCAUGCCCUGCGGUUCCCAGAACCCCGUGGUCUCUGCACCCCUCCGGGACCGCCUCCUCCUGGGCCUGCAGGGGAGUCAGCAGUACUCUCUCAGGCUCCGGGGGCUAACCGCUCUCCAGCCAGUGCUGGCCCUGCCUCCUGUCUCCUCCCCGCCCUCUGUUACUCCUAAACACAUAACAUGGGCAGCAACUCAUGUGAUAAUGUUGAAUUGUCAACCAGAGCUUUCUUCCCCACCUGGGAAAGAAUGAAGUGUGGAUAGUACAUACUCUGUCAUCGUUGUCUCUGUCAUGUACAAAGAUAGGCAGCGCGGCCAUGGUGACAGGUUAUGGACUUUACCAGAUUAUGGGGGUGGACCUAGUCUCACCACCUGACCCCUUGCAAGUGAAGGGCUUUUCUCCAGCGGGAAGAGAGGACGACAGUGAGUCCCCCACUGUGGGAUGGAGUCUUUACUCCAUCGCUGGCUCUGAAAUGUUGGGUUCACAUACAAGGACUGAAGACAGACUCCUAGGAGCUAAGGGAGGAUGCCAGCUGUCCCCUGACAGCCAUCAAGCAAAUGGGGACUUCAGUCUUGAACUACAGGGACCUGUGCUGUGUCAACACGCUGCUUGAGGUUAGCGGCAGAUUCUUCCUGGUGUCUCCCAAUGACAGGUGACCCCCUGACACUUUGGUCUCAGCCUUCUGAACCCCAAAGCAGAGAAUGCAGCCCAGACCUCUGACCCCUAGAACUGCAAGCCAAUAAAUACGUGUCGUUUAAAGAA
Long non-coding RNA from Mustela lutreola (European mink), 1231 nucleotides. RefSeq lists it as uncharacterized. NCBI's taxonomy places the organism in Eukaryota, Metazoa, Chordata, Mammalia, Carnivora, Mustelidae. The transcript has 2 exons. The record is from RefSeq and is a predicted model, not a curated record.